GCCUUCGUGGUGUAGAGGUCAGCACGCUGGGCGCGUAUUCCAGAGGUCCGUGGUUCGAGUCCCGGCGAAGGCG
This 73-nucleotide transfer RNA is filed under the name Stegodyphus mimosarum. It matches the Rfam family "tRNA". Rfam says of the family: Transfer RNA (tRNA) molecules are approximately 80 nucleotides in length. Their secondary structure includes four short double-helical elements and three loops (D, anti-codon, and T loops). The record is from Rfam by way of RNAcentral. Lineage: Eukaryota; Metazoa; Arthropoda; Arachnida; Araneae; Eresidae.